AAAGGAGGAGAAGAGAAGAGAGGGAGAAGAGAGGAAGAAGGAGGGAAAGCCUAGAGAUUGCUAAUCUCAACUAUUUUGAGUGAUUCCAAAGCCUAAAUCACUCCAAAUCUCCUCCUCUUUCAUAAUCCUAGCUUUGUUUUGAGUGAGGAGCAUUGUGGAGAGGGAUAUUGGCUCUAAAAAAUUCGCCCAUUUGGUGAAAUUUGGGAUUUUGAGUGCUUCAACCUCCAUUGAAGCUUGAGGAACUAUCAAUCAUUGGUUGUGUGACCAUUGGUGGAUUGAGACAUUUGGACCAACCGUGAGUGAUCAACCAUUGGAGCAAACUAUAGAGCUUGAUUAGCUCCUUGGAAUAGGUGUGUUACUUGUAAGUCAUCGUUGAAACCAAAGUUGAUUGGUUGCUGAACCGUUGGUGGUGAACAAAGGUUGACUGAAGCAUUGAGGUAAGGAUGCUGCAGGAGCCACCAGUGGCAAGUGGCCAUACUUGGACUAGUGUUGAUGCAUGAGGAUCCAGUAUUUUGAUAUCAUACAUGUUGUUUUGUAGCUCACAUGUAUAGAAUUGUAAAUAAUAGGCAAUGAUAGAUUUACGAUUUGUAUAUUGGAAUGGACUUAGCCUAUGCUCAUACCUUUGGUUAUCUCUUUGUUGAUGGGAGCCAAGGGAGUGAUCAUAGCGUUUUGUGAGCUAAGUUCCAUGAUUUGUAAUGAAUAUGUACUGUAAAUGAUGCCUACUUGAAAUUCAAUAUAUGCAUGCU
Long non-coding RNA from Gastrolobium bilobum, 746 nucleotides. RefSeq lists it as uncharacterized. The transcript is spliced from 4 exons. The record is from RefSeq and is a predicted model, not a curated record. Lineage: Eukaryota; Viridiplantae; Streptophyta; Magnoliopsida; Fabales; Fabaceae.